AAGACACUAGUAAAACUUAAUACCCUGCCUUGUCAAGGCAGAAUUGUGGGUUAGAAUCCCUCGUGCCUUG
Molecule: transfer RNA, 70 nt
Filed under: Saurida brasiliensis (Brazilian lizardfish)
Lineage: Eukaryota; Metazoa; Chordata; Actinopteri; Aulopiformes; Synodontidae
Description: tRNA-Asp
Rfam family: tRNA
About the family: Transfer RNA (tRNA) molecules are approximately 80 nucleotides in length. Their secondary structure includes four short double-helical elements and three loops (D, anti-codon, and T loops). Further hydrogen bonds mediate the characteristic L-shaped molecular structure. tRNAs have two regions of fundamental functional importance: the anti-codon, which is responsible for specific mRNA codon recognition, and the 3' end, to which the tRNAs corresponding amino acid is attached (by aminoacyl-tRNA synthetases). tRNAs cope with the degeneracy of the genetic code in two manners: having more than one tRNA (with a specific anti-codon) for a particular amino acid; and 'wobble' base-pairing, i.e. permitting non-standard base-pairing at the 3rd anti-codon position.
Source: RNAcentral